This 76-nucleotide microRNA precursor is filed under the name Schistosoma haematobium. RNAcentral describes it as "mir-3492 microRNA precursor family". It matches the Rfam family "mir-3492 microRNA precursor family". The record is from Rfam by way of RNAcentral. Lineage: Eukaryota; Metazoa; Platyhelminthes; Trematoda; Strigeidida; Schistosomatidae.
AGCUGUCUGUAUCCGUGCUGAGGUUUUGUCACACACCAAACCAAAAGGGCUGAUGAGACUCCCAAAGGAAGCGGUU